RNAcentral lists this ribosomal RNA (404 nucleotides) under uncultured bacterium. RNAcentral's name for it is "bacterial SSU rRNA". It matches the Rfam family "Bacterial small subunit ribosomal RNA", at positions 29 to 460 of the family's 1533-position model. The record is from RNAcentral.
AACGAACGCUGGCGGCAUGCCUAACACAUGCAAGUCGAACGAGACCUUCGGGUCUAGUGGCGCACGGGUGCGUAACGCGUGGGAAUCUGCCCUUGGGUUCGGAAUAACUUCGGGAAACUGAAGCUAAUACCGGAUGAUGACGUAAGUCCAAAGAUUUAUCGCCCAAGGAUGAGCCCGCGUAGGAUUAGCUAGUUGGUGAGGUAAAGGCUCACCAAGGCGACGAUCCUUAGCUGGUCUGAGAGGAUGAUCAGCCACACUGGGACUGAGACACGGCCCAGACUCCUACGGGAGGCAGCAGUGGGGAAUUUUGGACAAUGGGCGCAAGCCUGAUCCAGCAAUGCCGCGUGCAGGAUGAAGGCCUUCGGGUUGUAACUAGCUUUUGUUACGGUAACGAAACGGGUAGA